Molecule: ribosomal RNA, 468 nt
Filed under: uncultured bacterium
Lineage: Bacteria
Description: partial 16S ribosomal RNA
Rfam family: Bacterial small subunit ribosomal RNA
Source: RNAcentral
GACGAACGCUGGCGGCGUGCUUAACACAUGCAAGUCGAACGGAAAGGCCCUGCUUUUGUGGGUUGCUCGAGUGGCGAACGGGUGAGUAACACGUGAGUAACCUGCCCUUGACUUUGGGAUAACUUCAGGAAACUGGGGCUAAUAUCGGAUAGGAGCUCCUGCUGCAUGGUGGGGGUUGGAAAGUUUCGGCGGUUGGGGAUGGACUCGCGGCUUAUCAGCUUGUUUGGGGGGUAGGGGCUUACCAAGGCUUUGACGGGUAGCCGGCCUGAGGGGGUGACCGGCCACCUUGGGACUGAGAGACGGCCCAGUCUCCUACGGGACGCAGCAGUGGAGAAUAUUGCACAAUGGGCGGAAGCCUGAUGCAGCAACGCCGCGUGCGGGAUGCCGGCCUUCGGGUUGUAAACCGCUUUCGCCUGUGACGAAGCGUGAGUGACGGUAAUGGGUAAAGAAGCACCGGCUAACUACGUG